CAGCCGUAAACAAUGUGCGUUAGGUGUGUCGGUAACCACGUGUUACUGAUGCGCCGAAGAGAAAUCGUGAAACGCACCACCUGGGAAGUACGGUCGCAAGGCUGAAACUUAAAGGAAUUGGCGGGGGAGCACCACAACAGGUGGAGCCUGCGGUUUAAUUGGAUUCAACGCCGGACAUCUCACCGGAUAAGACAGCUGAAUGAUUGUCAAUCUGAAGGUUUUACAUGACUAGCUGAGAGGAGGUGCAUGGCGGUCAGUGACU
This 262-nucleotide ribosomal RNA is filed under the name uncultured archaeon. Its description in RNAcentral is "partial 16S ribosomal RNA". It matches the Rfam family "Archaeal small subunit ribosomal RNA", at positions 748 to 1009 of the family's 1478-position model. The record is from RNAcentral.